GGUACAACCCUCCGAAAGGGGGGCUGAUACCGCGCACAUCCCCUGGGGGCAUCCCCGGGGGAGGAAAGCCCUUUUGGGCGGGCGGGGAUGGGCAUGCGGCGCAUUAGGAAGACGGCGGUGUGACGGACCACCGUUCCGACGAUGCGUAGGGGUUCUGAGAGGAAGGCCCCCCACACUGGUACUGAGACACGGACCAGACUCCUACGGGAGGCAGCAGUGAGGAAUAUUGGUCAAUGGCCGGAAGGCUGAACCAGCCAAGCCGCGUGAGGGAGGAAGGCGCAGAGCGUCGCAGACCUCUUUUGCCGGGGGACAAAAGGCCGGACUCGUCCGGUCCUGAGGGUACCCGGAGAAAAAGCAUCGGCUAACUCCGUGCCAGCAGCCGCGGUAAUACGGAGGAUGCGAGCGUUAUCCGGAUUCAUUGGGUUUAAAGGGUGCGCAGGCGGGCCUUUAAGCCGGCGGUGAAAUCGCGGGGCUCAACCCCGCCGAGCCGUCGGAACUGGGGGCCUUGAGUGCGGCGGAGGCAUGCGGAAUGCGCGGUGUAGCGGUGAAAUGCAUAGAUAUCGCGCAGAACCCCGAUUGCGAAGGUAGCGUGCCGUGCCGCCACUGACGCUGAGGCACGAAAGCGCGGGGAUCGAACAGGAUUAGAUACCCUGGUAGUCCGCGCCGUAAACGAUGGAUGCUGGGUGUCCGGGGCGUUCAGGCCCUGGGUGCCGGAG
Molecule: ribosomal RNA, 716 nt
Filed under: uncultured bacterium
Lineage: Bacteria
Description: bacterial SSU rRNA
Rfam family: Bacterial small subunit ribosomal RNA
Source: RNAcentral